GCUUGCUUCAGCAACACAUAUACUUUAAUUGGAACAAUACAGAGAAGAUUAUCAUGACCCCUGUGCAAAGAUGACAUGCAAAUUUGUGAAGUAUUUCAUAUUUUU
This is a small nuclear RNA of Pongo abelii (Sumatran orangutan), 105 nucleotides long. Lineage: Eukaryota; Metazoa; Chordata; Mammalia; Primates; Hominidae. The record is from Ensembl.